GAUGAACGCUGGCGGCGUGCUUAACACAUGCAAGUCGAGCGGGCAAUUUAUCUAGCACUGAUUACUUCAAAUGGAAAUCAUAAGUGUAAUCAUGAAUUUCUACCUUUAAUAAAGAAAAAAGAAAUUCAUGUACGCAAAUAGUGAUAACACAUUUUAGUGAAGUGAUGAGUGCUGGAUAAAUUGCUAGCGGCGGACGGGUGCGUAACACGUGGGUAACCUGCCCCUAUCACUGGGAUAACACACUGAAAAGUGUGCUAAUACCAGAUAAUAUAAGCUUUUGGCAUCAUUAGCUUAUCAAAGAAUUUCGGAUAGGGAUGGGCCCGCGUCUGAUUAGCUAGUUGGUGAGGUAACGGCUCACCAAGGCUUCGAUCCAUAGCUGGUUUGAGAGGACGACCAGCCACACUGGAACUGAGACACGGUCCAGACUCCUACGGGAGGCAGCAGUGAGGAAUAUUGGACAAGUGGGUGAGAG
Molecule: ribosomal RNA, 472 nt
Filed under: uncultured bacterium
Lineage: Bacteria
Description: bacterial SSU rRNA
Rfam family: Bacterial small subunit ribosomal RNA
Source: RNAcentral